AUGGCUCAGUGGGUAAGAGCUCAUGUUCUGCAAGCAUGAGGACUUGAGUUCAAAUCCCCAAU
RNAcentral lists this transfer RNA (62 nucleotides) under Neotoma lepida (desert woodrat). It matches the Rfam family "tRNA", at positions 7 to 64 of the family's 71-position model. From Rfam's summary of the family: Transfer RNA (tRNA) molecules are approximately 80 nucleotides in length. Their secondary structure includes four short double-helical elements and three loops (D, anti-codon, and T loops). Lineage: Eukaryota; Metazoa; Chordata; Mammalia; Rodentia; Cricetidae. The record is from Rfam by way of RNAcentral.